Molecule: ribosomal RNA, 298 nt
Filed under: uncultured bacterium
Lineage: Bacteria
Description: partial 16S ribosomal RNA
Rfam family: Bacterial small subunit ribosomal RNA
Source: RNAcentral
CUAUGCGCCUUGCCAGCCCGCUCAGGUGUGCCAGCCGCCGCGGUAAUACGUAGGUGGCAAGCGUUGUCCGGAUUUAUUGGGCGUAAAGCGAGUGCAGCGGUUCAAUAAGUCUGAUGUGAAAGCCUUCGGCUCAACCGGAGAAUUGCAUCAGAAACUGUUGAACUUGAGUGCAGAAGAGGAGAGUGGAACUCCAUGUGUAGCGGUGGAAUGCGUAGAUAUGUGGAAGAACACCAGUGGCGAAGGCGGCUCUCUGGUCUGCAACUGACGCUGAGGCUCGAAAGCAUGGGUAGCGAACAGG